RNAcentral lists this long non-coding RNA (1108 nucleotides) under Phasianus colchicus (ring-necked pheasant). RNAcentral describes it as "lncRNA (ENSPCLG00000013895.1)". The record is from RNAcentral. Lineage: Eukaryota; Metazoa; Chordata; Aves; Galliformes; Phasianidae.
CUAUAGUAUUUUAUUAUUUUUAUUCUUACGCACAUAUUUUAUAUAUAAUAGAGAGAGUUUAUACAGAUUGUCUGCAGAGCUGCCAGUUUUGUGAAGUGGCACAGGAGGAGAAUCCUUUUUGUCUUCUGAGCUGCUGGUGUUUCCUAGCUCCUGUCCAGAACCACUGGGGAGAAACUUUGAUAAUACUGAUGGCCUGCUCUAUAUUAACCUGUUUGGACCUCUUGUUUUUGGAAGGUUUCUUGAUUUGGACACAUUCAUCAAGAGGUGCUGUGUGGAUACCUUGGAUGAAAAGGUUUUGCGCUGCUUGUUUUCCAGUGGGGGAGUAUAAGGUUCCUCUUUGAGAAGUGUUUCUGUAUCUGGGUUGGAAGUUGCAGUUGUGGUUGAAGAACUGUCAUCAUCUGCCAAGGAAUCCUUCAGUUCAUCUUUCUGUUGCUUCCCUUUUCCUCUUCUGUCCUUUUCUUCCCUUUUCUUUUGUGGAAAAUUACUUUUUGCUUGGAAAUGCAUUUAUCCAUACACUAAAUACAUAUGCAAGUUGCAGUCAUCAACAAGGCUGUGUCCAGUUCAAGCUAUGGUUCUUUCGAGAUGAUGCUCUGAUACUUCUUGAUCUGCAUCUUCUCAUUACUGAGUACAUGGGAUCCUCAGUCCUUUGAUGGACUAGACACUCAAUUCAUUAAAGUGAUAGUCAGCUCUCACACUCUCAAAUACCACAUUGUUUCUGACGGACAAGUAAAAUACGUAUUUAGGCUUUCAAUUUUCCAUGUGGGUAUGGUAAUACUUUGACCUGCAGUGAUAUUUAUCAGCGUAAGUGUAGAAGAUAGCAGCAAAACUACUUUGGAUGACCAUUUAUAGCUCUUGUCAUCCAUGUGCACCAACAUGUAAAGAAAAGCCAUAUACCCACAAAGUGGAUAAGAGUUAAUUUGUAAGACCAUAAAGAAUAAUGUGGAUCUACCCUAUAAAAACAGACUAAAAGAUUUCACUUUUUUACUAUCUAUAAAAAACCUGUGAAUGUGUUGGUAACUAUUCUAACUGUCCUGCUUAAAAAAUGUGCAAUGUGUGUGUACAUUUAAAAACUUCAUAGCUGAUUAUCAAUAGGGGCAGAAAAUUAAAU